AGAUAAACAGAAUUGGUGCAUUACUGUAUGGACGUGUCUACAGUCGCAGCCUCCUCAAGACAUUCAGGAGUGGAUCAGUGGUCCCCGAUAUGACACUUAUUUUCUCAGAUAAAAACUUUGUUCCUGCACCAAACAGUGUAUCUCAACAAUUCAAUGCUGAGCUUGCCAAGUCUACAGUCCUGACUGUUAUAAAAGACAGCGUUUCUGCACAGCCAACACAAACACCUACUGGAAGCAGUCCUGCACACCACACAGUGGGCUCACUGGCAGUCUUGUCACUAACGUUGCUCGCUGUGGCACAAAUGCUCAUAGACUUCUAGCCAGUAUUCAAGGAAGACAUUAAGUUGAUCAGCUGGGCUGUCAAGUGUGGAAAAAAGCACAAACAAGAAAAACACAUAUAACCUGUGCGUUAUGAAAUUUACCAACACAGUGUCGUUUGGUAAAGGAAUGUGUGCUGUAAAUCAAAGAUUGAAACGGUUCUAUAUUUUCUAUAUUUGAUAUUCUAAUCACUCUUUCAAUUCUAUAUUAUUUAAAGUAAUACUUAGCAAGAUAAUAUUAAUCCAUUAUAUUAUAUUAUUCCAUAAAGGUUCACUGUGAUAAAAAUACCAUAUUUGAUUUUUUUCUUUCCAUUUUUAUUGUAGUUAACUUUCACUGUAUUUGUUAUGUAAAUGAUUUUUUUUUUCAUCAUGGAAUUGUUAACAUUUUAAAAAUGCAAAACCAUAACCUACUAAAUAUUUAUUUUGGAUUAAAAUCAUUAUUUAAUUGUGAAAGAUUAAAAUCUACAUCCAUUUAACAACAACACAGUUGCCAUGUGAGAGUACUGGUAGGAAGAUCACAGAACAUUCAAUGAUGUCACUUUGCAACAUAAUGGUGGGUUUUGCAGAAUCAGCCAGAAUCAACUGAAUAGUAAUAGUGGACUGCCUUUAAAUGAUUUGCUGUCCAUGUCCAAGUACUGUCAUAAUAAAAUUUAGAAAGAUGUUUGUUUUCAAUUGAUCAACAAUUCGUGUUUAAUAGCCAACUGAUUCUUUUUGUAUUUUAUUUUAA
Long non-coding RNA from Monopterus albus (swamp eel), 1044 nucleotides. RefSeq lists it as uncharacterized. The record is from RefSeq and is a predicted model, not a curated record. NCBI's taxonomy places the organism in Eukaryota, Metazoa, Chordata, Actinopteri, Synbranchiformes, Synbranchidae. The transcript has 3 exons.